UUUGGUGCCGUCAGCCUCUCACUUCCUAGUUGAAAGUGAUAUGUUCGUCAUGACAGGGAGAAUGAUGGGCCACUCCUUCCUUCAUGGUGGACCGUGCCUGUCUGGGCUCAGCCCUGCCUUUGCUCAUGUCCUGCUUGGAGGGAGUCCCGAAACUGCAACUGUAGCCCUAGAAGACUGUCCAGACCUGGACAUCCGGGAAACAAUCAGGCUUCUUCACGGUGAAUCCGAACUCUCUGAGGAAGAGGCAAAAAGAGUACAGGACUUGGCCUAUGCCUGGGACCUCCCUUGCCUGUCUAAUAAUAACAGGAGAUGGUUUUUCGAGAAAAUGUUGAUCCAUGCUGUCAUUGGACGUGUCACAAGACAAAUUAAACAGCUGAGACGUGGUCUUAGAGACACAAAUGUGGACCGUGCUGACCAAACGACCUGACACAGUGGCCCUGCUUUUCCCUAAAGAGGGAGCAGUGGAUUACAGCCCUGAGGUACUUCUGAAGCGCAUUACCUGGCCUCAUCAUGAUGAAGAAGAAGAUGAUGACAAUGAUUUUUCAGUUGACACCAUGUGCCACGUCAGGUUAUCUUCGACAGUUCAUUGAAAAUGGUAUGUGGACAGAGUAAACAUAUGCGAUAAACCGUGAAACAGUUGGUCAUCUAGUUAUCAUUACCUCUCCACAGCAACUUUUAAUGUAACUUGUAAAAUAAUUUAAUAUGUUUACUGCACAGCAUCACCGAAUGAAUUGAGAGAUCUGGUGAAAUUUUGGACUGGAUGGGAGAUUCUGCCAAGGACGAAUCUGUCCCUUGAGGUGGUCAAAGGCAGCUUCCCCACCGCCUCCACCUGUUACGAGACCCUGCGAAUCCCAGGGCAUUACAAAGACUACGCAUCUUUUAACCCUUGUGCUGCCUUCGGGUCACAUGACCCAAAGGUUCACAACGAACCAUCGUUGUAUUUACCCAAUUUUACCCAAUACAAAAACAAAUAUAUAUAAUUUUCUUUUAACCUUCGCAA
Osmerus eperlanus (European smelt) is the source of this 1000-nucleotide long non-coding RNA. RefSeq lists it as uncharacterized. The record is from RefSeq and is a predicted model, not a curated record. Lineage: Eukaryota; Metazoa; Chordata; Actinopteri; Osmeriformes; Osmeridae. The transcript is spliced from 4 exons.